This 72-nucleotide transfer RNA is filed under the name Pseudovirgaria hyperparasitica. It matches the Rfam family "tRNA". Rfam says of the family: Transfer RNA (tRNA) molecules are approximately 80 nucleotides in length. Their secondary structure includes four short double-helical elements and three loops (D, anti-codon, and T loops). Further hydrogen bonds mediate the characteristic L-shaped molecular structure. tRNAs have two regions of fundamental functional importance: the anti-codon, which is responsible for specific mRNA codon recognition, and the 3' end, to which the tRNAs corresponding amino acid is attached (by aminoacyl-tRNA synthetases). tRNAs cope with the degeneracy of the genetic code in two manners: having more than one tRNA (with a specific anti-codon) for a particular amino acid; and 'wobble' base-pairing, i.e. permitting non-standard base-pairing at the 3rd anti-codon position. Lineage: Eukaryota; Fungi; Ascomycota; Dothideomycetes; Acrospermales; Acrospermaceae. The record is from Rfam by way of RNAcentral.
AGUCCAAUGGUCUAGUGGUAUGACGUUCGCUUCACACGCGAAAGGUCCUGGGUUCGAUCCCCUGUUGGACUA